This 377-nucleotide ribosomal RNA is filed under the name uncultured eukaryote. RNAcentral's name for it is "partial 18S ribosomal RNA". It matches the Rfam family "Eukaryotic small subunit ribosomal RNA", at positions 592 to 976 of the family's 1831-position model. The record is from RNAcentral.
CAAUAGCGUAUAUUAAAGUUGUUGCAGUUAAAAAGCUCGUAGUUGGAUUUCGGGGCAGCCUGGCUGGUCCGCCGCAAGGCGAGUACUGGUCAGCCGCCCUUCCUCUCGAAAGCCCCGACUACUCUUCGUUGCAGUGGUCGGGUAGUUCGGGACGUUUACUUUGAAAAAAUUAGAGUGUUCAAGGCAGGCCUACGCCUGAAUACAUUAGCAUGGAAUAAUGGAAGAGGACCUCGGUCCUAUUUUGUUGGUUUCCAGGGCCGAAGUAAUGAUUAAGAGGGACAGUUGGGGGCAUUCGUAUUUAAUUGUCAGAGGUGAAAUUCUCGGAUUUAUGAAAGACGAACAACUGCGAAAGCAUUUGCCAAGGAUGUUUUCAUUAA